RNAcentral lists this ribosomal RNA (820 nucleotides) under uncultured marine bacterium. RNAcentral's name for it is "bacterial SSU rRNA". It matches the Rfam family "Bacterial small subunit ribosomal RNA", at positions 56 to 926 of the family's 1533-position model. The record is from RNAcentral.
UGCAAGUCGAACGAAGUAGCAAUACUUAGUGGCAGACGGGUGAGUAACAUGUGGGUAUCUGCCCUUUGGCCUGGAAUAACACGAGGAAACUUGUGCUAAUACCGGAUAAGUCUUUACGGAGAAAGCUUUAUGCACCAUUGGAUGAGCCUGCACUUGAUUAGUUUGUUGGUGGGGUAAUGGCCUACCAAGACUGUGAUCAAUAGCUGAUUUGAGAGGAUGAUCAGCCACAUUGGGACUGAGACACGGCCCAAACUCCUACGGGAGGCAGCAGUGGGGAAUCUUGCACAAUGGAGGAAGCUCUGAUGCAGCGAUGCCGCGUGAGUGAAGAAGGCCUUUGGGUUGUAAAGCUCUUUCGUCGGGGAAGAAAAUGACUGUACCCGAAUAAGAAGGUCCGGCUAACUUCAUGCCAGCAGCCGCGGUAAUACGAAGGGACCUAGCGUAGUUCGGAAUUACUGGGCUUAAAGAGUUCGUAGGUGGUUGAAAUAGUUGGUGGUGAAAUCCCAGAGCUUAACUCUGGAACUGCCAUCAAAACUUUUCAGCUAGAGUAUGAUAGAGGAAAGCAGAAUUUCUAGUGUAGAGGUGAAAUUCGUAGAUAUUAGAAAGAAUACCAAUUGCGAAGGCAGCUUUCUGGAUCAUUACUGACACUGAGGAACGAAAGCAUGGGUAGCGAAGAGGAUUAGAUACCCUCGUAGUCCAUGCCGUAAACGAUGUGUGUUAGACGUUGGAAAUUUAUUUUCAGUGUCGCAGGGAAACCGAUAAACACACCGCCUGGGGAGUACGACCGCAGAUUAAAACUCAAAGGAAUUGACGGGGCCCGCAC